UAAUCCUGACAGCUCAUAUUAGAGGGAUUAAAUUCUCAUCCUGCAGGAAGCUACCUCAGAAUCUCAACCAGCAGCCUGGGUCUGGAGGCAAAAAGGAGGUGAGAGCCCUCUCCUCCCCUGGCACAAAGAGGUGUCAAUUUAUAUUGAACUCAAACCUCUCUGAAGAAAAUGAAGGUCACAGCACAUUCCUAAGCAGGAAAGCUCAUGGUCCUUGCAUUGACUGUCUUGGAGAGGGAGAUAAUAUGUGAACGAGAGUAUUGCUGUUGCUGUCUGAUGGAUGGAGUUUCAGAGAUAAAGGAUGAGCAUAAGACAGAAGAACAUGCCAAAACAGAGGGUCUUGUGAACAUCUGUCUACUUUUCAACACUGACUGCCACGAUUUUCCAGAGAAAAUUGAGGCACGAGAAAAAGAAGACUUGAGCAAGAGAGCAUUUAGCAAAAUCGGCCCGAGAACCAAGGACACUGCUGCAGCUUCAGGCCCAAAAAGUGUAAACAGCAGUGAAUUGAGGAGAGCAAAUUGGAAGAUGGGACUCCAUAACCUGAAGCUGUAAUUGGACAAUGAACCCCAAAAUGUAAAUGGACUGAAAUUUAUAGAAGUGUGAAAAUGUGUGACCCGUCAUACAUCUUGGGUGUAGCCCUGGCCAGGCUCUCUUUCUGCCCAAGAUGUAUCCUUUGAAAGCAUUUAAUAAAACCUACCUUAAUUCUUUAACUCUGUCUAGCCUCUGCUCUAAGUAGCCUCCCAAGACACCAGCAUGGCUUUCCCUAAAGCAACUUGUCAUGGACACAAGGCUCAGGGACACCCCCAAGCACUCUUGACGUGUCCAGCCUGGACACCUGACUCAAGGCAGUGCUUGUUUCCUCAACACAUCAGCAUGGGGAGCAGAGAGCACUCCCCUAUGCUCAGGGACUGAGCCAUGUGGAGAUUCGAUGUGAAUUGUAAUUUAAAGCCUUUAUCUAAAUACUCUUUCCUAGCAUAGUUCAAACAGUGGAAGCCGAGCUGACAGGUUAAUCCCAUUGUCAGGAGAUUUCACUAUUUCCAAAGCAGGUUUUGUCUGGAUUUGGAGUGAAAAACCCCCGAGGCUGCUGCUCAUCCUGGGAGGGAGCAGCAUCCCUGUGGGCAGAGGAGAUGGUGGAAAAUGGGGCAGGGUUCAGCCAAAUCCAAGCUCUGCCAGAACUGUUUCUAAAACUAGCAAAUUAUGGAACAUUUGAUCUUGUUAGCUGGAAUUUUCAACAAUAAAAACAGUCAAUAUUUUUUCCUCUUUCCUGAGCAGCCCUAAUCUGGUAAUACACAAUUAUCAUGUGUCCAAAAACAUAUCAGCAAGCCACAAAGCUUGCAGGUUUACCUUCAAAAACUCAAACGCUUUAUAACCUCUUUGAGUACUUGGAUCCUUUUAUUCAUCUUGUCUUCUGAAAAUGGAGGGAGAGGCUAGAUGAGAACAGCUGUUCUUUAAACAGUUCUCAGCACAGAUGAGAUAAUCUUAACUUUGUAUUUGAGCACCCACCCUGCCCACCUUCCUCUGAUUCCAGGUCUGAUCUGUACCCACAUAAGCAUAAGACCAGCCUCUGGCUAAGGUUUGAGUGUCACUGAAAACCCACAAGAAAUAAUUACUCUUCCUGGAAAGACUUGUCCCAACGAGUGAAAAUCAUUUCAUAAUGGCUUGUAAGAUUAUAAUUCUUCAGUCUCCAAGCCCCAGUGAUACAAUAAGAUAAUAAAUCUCACUGAAGAGUGAAGUGUGCUGUAAUUGAUGGGAAUAUGUAGACAGAGAAUGUAAAUCUUGAAGUACACCUGGAGCACCUGAACAGGUGAUAUGUGCACAGUGAAGAUCACAGAACUGGGCGUUUUGUACUUGGCAUCAUUAAAAUCUGUUUGCCAAGCUUGACUAUAGGUGUGAAUUCUGAUCUCAGUUUUCCAUACUUCAUUUGAAGGCAUGAUCUGUUAAUUCCAGUGAUGCUGCUGAUGAUCUGUGUUGCUGAAAAGUAGCAUUAGGUCACAGUCCUGCUUUCUCAAUUUGGUACAAACAUCUGGCUUCUCUAGGUCACCACUGUAUCUCUCCAGAAACCACUGUAUAUGUGACAUUGCAAAAAGUUUGUGUUGUCUCUGUUACUCAUUUACAGGCAUGCCCAGGAUUAGGGGUCACUACAAAAAUUUCCACUUGGUCAGCUGAAAAAAAUUUGCAGUCCUUCAUGGACAACAAUACAGUGAGGGAUUUUUUUUUUUUUUUAAAGGUUUGAAAAUUGUUAGAACAAAGUAAAACAAUUCCACUUUUAAUCAGUGUUGAAUUAUAGUUAAAAAAUGCAGAAGAAUUUGAAGAGAUUAACAAGCAAAUAAAUCAUUACAAAAAAUAGUUAGGCUCACCAUUGUAAAAAGUGUUCUAAAUUUCCUGGUUAUUGAAAAGUAAUGUGCAUUUUGAUUUAUUUUCUUGUUUGAGA
Molecule: long non-coding RNA, 2428 nt
Organism: Haemorhous mexicanus (house finch)
Lineage: Eukaryota; Metazoa; Chordata; Aves; Passeriformes; Fringillidae
Exons: 6
Source: RefSeq, a predicted model, not a curated record